AAUUGGGGUUCGAUUCCGGAGAGGGUGCCUGAGAAACGGCAACCAUGACUACGGUCAGCAGCAGGCGCGCAAAUUGCCCAAUGCCAACACUGGCGAGGCAGCGACGAAAAAUAACAACUUUGUGGUGCACGUGCACUUCAGAGAUUGCAAUGGGCUGUAUCUACAAACACUGACGAGGAUCCAUUGGAGGGCGAGUCUGGUGCCAGCAGCCGCGGUAAUUCCAGCUCCAAGAGCGUAUAUAAACGUUGUUGCGUUUAAAAAGCCCGUAGUUGGAUUUGAGGGCAUCGCCUGUGGGGGUUGCCCCUGGGUCUCCCGGGGUGUUCAACGUCCACACCGUGGCGGUGUUCUGUCUUUUGCGGGAACGGCGACCUCGUCAUCGGGUUUCGGCCCGCUGGCGACUCCGGAGUCACCACGCUCCACAUGGUUCGCCCGCAGCUGUCACUGUGAGUAAAUCAGAGUGUUCAAGGCAACUCUAUGUUGAGUUGAAUGUUAAAGCAUGGAAUGACAAGGGAUCGACCGCUUGAGGCCUUCUUUGUUGGUUUUUAACCUCCAGUGAGGUAAAUCUGUGGAAGAGAUGUUCAUUUCAAGCCUCGUGCUUGGGUGGGACUCUUCCACUCACGGGAUCAAAAGGAGCACAGGGGGCCGUGAGUACCGGAGGGUGAGUGGUGAAAUACUUAGACCCCUCCGAGACUGACAUCAGCGAAAGCACUCGGCUAUUGUGCUUUCAUUAAUCAAGGACGAGAGAUAGGGGAUCGAAGAGGAUUAGACACCCUCGUAGUCCUUUCCUUAAAUGCUGCAGACUUGGGAUCGGUCAGUGCUCUCUUUCUUGACCUGAUCGGCACCUUCCCUUUCUACCGAGAAAUCAAAGUUUUUGUGUUCCGGGGGGAGUACAUUCGCAAAGCUGAAACUUAAAGGAAUUGACGGAGAACCACCACCAGUCGUGGAUUGUGUGGCUUAAUUCGACACAACGCGGGAAAUUUUACCAGCACAGGACACGGUCAGGAUUGCCAGCUUAACGCGUUUGCUUGAUUCCGUGAAGGGUAGUGCAUGGCCGCUUCUGGUUGGUGAAUGUGAUUUGUCUGCUUAAUUGCGAUAACGAACGAGAUCUCUGCCAAUUACUAGAGACCGCUUUCGCUUUUAAGUGAUCGCGUGGUUGGAGUCUCGCGACUUCUAAUCACGCGGUGCUGAGAAGGCGGACAUUUACUUAUUGGGAUCAUGCGGGACAAAAACGCAUUGAAACGAGAGCCCAAAGCAGGUCUGUGAUGCUCCUAGAUGCGCUGGGCUGCACGCGCAAUACACUGACUCCGACAGCGAGCUUCUUGUCCGCAACCUGGUCCGAAGGUUCUGGGGAAACUUUGAGCCGGAGUCGUGCUGGGGAUUGAUGCUUGAAAUUAUUCUCCAUGAACGAGGAAUGUCUUGUAGGCGCGUUUCAUCAGAACGCACCGAAUACGUCCCUGGUUCUUGUACACACCGCCCGUCGUUGCCUGUAAUGGGUUGGAAGUAGAGCCCUUUGGAGAUUGAGCGGUUUACUCUCGGGUUGCCGCGCGGUCGAAAUUG
This 1557-nucleotide ribosomal RNA is filed under the name metagenome. Its description in RNAcentral is "SSU rRNA". It matches the Rfam family "Eukaryotic small subunit ribosomal RNA", at positions 368 to 1757 of the family's 1831-position model. The record is from RNAcentral.